GAGAACCUGCGGGAGAGCGCCCGGGCUUGCUGCUUCCCGGACCCGCGCGUCUCUCGAGCACCCUCGUCCCACCACCUUGUGAGGCCGUAGUGUUAUUUUUAUUUUUUAGAUCAGCAGACUGAGACUCGAGGUGACGUCACUCCGCAGAGAGGUUAGCUGACUUGAAGAAAACGGGUAUCUCCUCUUUCCAUUUCGCCCGUGUAAACAGCCGAACUGCCUAUUAUAAAAGCAUGGACUGCCAGCAUUGGAGUGGUCCUUAGAGGCCUAUUAUGAAAUCAUAGAAUGUCUGCAUUGGAAUCGCCUCACCUCCUUUUACCGCUGGAGAAGCCGACGGACAGACGGGCAGCGACCCCCGCCGUCGCACAACCCGUCUAGGCAGAGAGCGCAGGAGACGGGAGGGCGGCAGGGACACAUCUCCCAGCCAAGGACCUCCUGGGCCCGCAGAGGCCGCGACAGGUUCCCCCCACAGAGGGAACCAACUCUGCCGCAGGUUAGAGCACAGCAGACUGAGCCACCCAGAACUGGCCCCUCCGGUGGACCAGCCCCUGCGGAUUCACAGACCACUGGUCCUGGAAGGGACCUUGUCAAGCAGGCCCAUAAGGUGGCUAUUCAGCCUGUUUCUCCAACAACCCCAGGGGCUAGAAGCCCGCCACACCCCCGUGUAACUCAUUUUGUUUUUGGACAGCUCUGACUCUGGGAGUUCUUAGAUUGAGCUGACACCUCGCUCCCAGCAAUGUCUGUCCACUGCUGUGGGGGGUGAGAGGAAGCGUUUUCCCCUAUCUAGCCCCUAUAGCAGCAGUUUCACUCCCAUGGCUCAUCUCUGGACCACAGUCUCAUCUUCUUUAACACAGGGCCUCAGUAUGGGAAUGGAUGUGGAUGGAGAUAAUGGAGGGGAAGUGAGCUGGAAGGGGAGAAGGGAAACAGGGUUGCUGGUCACAGAGUGGAAUGUGUUCCCCAGGGAUUUGCCUCAGCCAGGGGCCUGCACAGUCACUGUUGGCACUGUCCCCACCUUUGUUCCCAGUCAAAUAUCCACUGGUGCCGUCUCUCCCUCCCAGGCCAGGACUGCUCAGUGGAUCUAACAUUACACCCUGACAGCCCUGUCCAGCCCAUGGAGCAGAGAGAGAGGGUUCUCAGCGAGGGGAAGCAGGAUGGCCACCUCCCUUCCCUUCCUGAGUUCUUUCCACCCCAGUGUUCAACACCUGUGUUGCGUCUCCUGCCCUGUCAGCAGGAGUCUAGGUCAGUGAUGGCAAUCCUGUUUUCAAGGGAAUACACAAACUUCCCUGUAUGUUCCAAAUUAUUGGGCAGAUUUGCUUUGUUCCUGCUUGGGCUGGGAAGCAUCACUGAGUUCAGCAUCCCUGAACUCAACUGUGACUGGGCCCUUGAUUAAGCAACAGCUUGCUUUCAGACCCUCUAAUGAAAGGGACUACGAUCGUAUGACAUAAAGUGUUUUAUUAGUUAAUUAACUAACAAACAUUGGAACAGGAGGUGAUGAAGAGUUCUCUGAAGAACCUUGGAAACAUAUUUCCCUCAUCAAGAGUUAAACUUUUGUCUCCUGUACUGGUUCUUCCACUCCCAAACCCACAACAAAUGAAUGCAGAUGAAGAUGACUUUGGUAGCACUUAAAAAAAAAUAGUUUGUAAAAUUGUGAGGGCCAGUACUGCUUUUUUUUUUUUUUUUUUUGAGACAAAGUCUUGCUCUGUCGCCCAGGCUGGAAUGCAAUGGCACAAUCUCCACUCACUGCAACCUCUGCCUCCUGGGUUCAAGUGAUUCUCCUGCCUCAGCCUCCCGAGUAGCUGGGACUACAGGUGCCUGCCACCACACCCAGCUAAUUUUUGUAUUUUUAGUAGAGAUGGGGUUUCAUCAUGUUGGCCAGGCUUGUCUCAAACUUCUGACCUCAGGUGAUCUGCCCGCCUCAGCCUCCCAAAGUGCUGGGAUUAUAGGCAUGAGCCACCACACAUGGCCUGCUUUUCCUUAUCUUUCAGAAUAGUUGAACUACUUUAUUCCUCAGUGUGGCCCAAAUAAGAUUUUCAAAUGCCUCUAAACAGAGCUCUCCUUCUGUGCCUCUGCUGAGGUUUGCUCCUGUAGGAAGUUAUCUGGACCAAACAGCCCGAGCACUGAAUUUAGCUGUAUUGCUGUUACAUUUCCUGUGUGUUGAGGGUUUGGCUGCCAGGAGGUGAAUUGUAGAUAGAAUCUUUCAUUCUGGUUUCAGUUUCUGGAAGUAGCUAUUGAGCUCAAGGCAAAUCAUAUAUUUAAAGAUAUAUACAUGAUUUAAGGAUAAUCUGGCAUUUAUCUCUGCUCUCUUUUUGAAGACUUCAUUAUCAUGGUUGCCUGACCCAACACAACAUAUUUGGAGGAGGAGAGGGGACACUUUUAUUGUACCCCAUCACGUGGCUGAGUCAUUUGGCUCUCCAUUCACUGGAACAGACGACUAUGGACACCACCAUUGGGUUUCCCACCAAGGACAGAGUUCCAAAGCAACAGUGGCUUCCAUGGUUGGCUCACCCAGCCUGCCUGAGUCAUCAGCUAGGUCCACAGAGUAGAGAAGUGGGUAGUGCCCCCGCCUAACAUCUGGAAAAAUUCCCAAAAGUUGUGACUUCAUGACCACUGAGUCAGCAGCAACUCUUUUCUUGCCAAGAAUAGCACAUUGUUCUUUUCCUUUUCAGGUAAUCCCUCCCCGGAAAGAGAAGAUCACAGAUUUUGUCAUAUUAAAUACAUUGUAGAAAUUCAUGGUAGCAGGGGCAAGAUCAUUUAAACAAAACAGAAAGUUUCAGAGAGAGAAAAAGCCAAGGACAAAGAUUAAUCAUUUUUCUGCUUAAAAAAAAUGGCUUUGAUUUGCAACCAUGGAAUGCUCCACUGUUUCUCUUCUCUUCAAAGACAUCUACUGAAAGGAUUCCUUAACCUUACCAAGUGGCCAAAAUACUUUUCUGAGAAGAGUCACAGAGCAUAGGCCCCCCUAGGGUACACAGAGAUUUCAUUAGUCCCUAGAUGUUUCCUGAUCCUUUUAAAAACUGGUUAAAUUCAGAGACUCUAGGCAAUUACUUCUUUCAGAACCUGUGAGGCAAAAACGAAAGAAGAAGGCAGGACACGCAGUGUAACAAACCUUGGAAUGCCGCUGCCAUGAAGGUUGACCUGUGCAGUUUCAGCAGGUACAAGAUCUACCCCGGACACGGGAGGCGCCACGCCAGGACCGACGGGAGGGUUUUCCAGUUUCUUAAUUCAAAAUGCAAGUUGGCGUUCCUUUCCAAGAGGAAUCCUCCGCAGAUAAACUGGACUGUCCUCUACAGAAGGAAGCACAAAAAGGGGCAGUCGGAGUAAAUUCAAAAGAAAAGAACCCACCGAGCAGUCAAAUUCCAGAAGACCAUUACGGUGUAUCUCUUGCUGCUAUAAUGGCCAAGAGGAAUCAGAAACCCGAAGUUAGAAAGGCUCAAAGAGAACAAGCUAUCAGGGCUGCUAAGGAAGCAAAAAAUGGCUAAGCAAGCAUCUAAAAAGACUGCAAGGGCUGCUGCUACGGCACCUACAAAGGCAGCACCUGAGCAAAAGAUUGUGAAGCCUGUGGAAGUUUCAGCUCCCCGAGUUGGUGGAAAACACUAAACUGGCAGAUUAGAUUUUUAAAUAAAGAUUGGAUUAUAACUCUAAUAAUAAGAAGAAAAUAAAAAUCUCCUAAAUCUGCCUUCGCCUUUCUACUUCCACUUUCUAGUUCAGGCCCUCGUCAUGACACAGUGGAGCACUGGCCAUCUCACAGGUCCUCCUGCUGUCAGGCCCGUGCAUCCCCUCUCCAUUCCCCUCUGCUGCUAGAGCCAUCACUCAGUGCUGCGGACGGUACCCCUCCCAGGGCAGGAGGUAGGUGGAUCCCCAUAGCGUCAUGAAUGACUCUGCUUUAGUCAGCUGCCUGGGCUUUACCAGCCCCUUCCUCAUCAGAUCCUGGCAUUCUCUGUAGCCAACCUGAAGACAGAGCAUUUGCUUUUAGAGAACUCCAGCCUCGAUUUGUUCUUUAGUGACUUUUUUCCUACCGUGAAUUAACAAGUUGGUAUUUGGAUUUCAUUUUUAAGAUGUAAGUUAAAUUGUUUCCUAGAAUUGAGUCCUUGAAUCAAUUCACCUUCAGAUUGUAAUCUGAGCUCCAUGUCAUGGUUUACAAAGCUGUCAGUGAUCUGGCCUUUGGCCACCUGUUCUACUUCUCCUCUGCAGGGUCCCGGACCCUAGGUGCUACAGA
RNAcentral lists this long non-coding RNA (4210 nucleotides) under Homo sapiens (human). RNAcentral describes it as "HSALNT0317447". Lineage: Eukaryota; Metazoa; Chordata; Mammalia; Primates; Hominidae. The record is from RNAcentral.